RNAcentral lists this ribosomal RNA (446 nucleotides) under uncultured bacterium. RNAcentral describes it as "bacterial SSU rRNA". It matches the Rfam family "Bacterial small subunit ribosomal RNA", at positions 28 to 456 of the family's 1533-position model. The record is from RNAcentral.
GAUGAACGCUGGCGGCGUGCUUAACACAUGCAAGUCGAACGAAGCUGUUAAAAGGAAGUCUUCGGAUGGAAUUUUAACAGACUUAGUGGCGGACGGGUGAGUAACGCGUGGAUAACCUGCCUUAUACAGGGGGAUAACGGAGAGAAAUUUCCGCUAAGACCGCAUAAGACCACAGCACCGCAUGGUGCAGGGGUAAAAUAUUAAUAGGUAUAAGAUGGAUCCGCGUCCGAUUAGCUAGUUGGUGAGGUAGAGGCUCACCAAGGCGACGAUCGGUAGCCGGCCUGAGAGGGUGAACGGCCACAUUGGGACUGAGACACGGCCCAAACUCCUACGGGAGGCAGCAGUGGGGAAUAUUGGACAAUGGGGGAAACCCUGAUCCAGCGACGCCGCGUGAGUGAAGAAGUAUUUCGGUAUGUAAAGCUCUAUCAGCAGGGAAGAAAANGACG